Molecule: ribosomal RNA, 909 nt
Filed under: Triticum aestivum (bread wheat)
Lineage: Eukaryota; Viridiplantae; Streptophyta; Magnoliopsida; Poales; Poaceae
Description: partial small subunit ribosomal RNA
Source: RNAcentral
AUGUCUUCCUUUUCCGCCGGUUUUCAGCUUGUGGCCAAGAAAUGUUGCAAAGAUUCGCCGCCUUCUUCCCCUCAAGGUCCCGAUUUUGUUGUUGGAGGAAUGUCCUCAGCCAGCUCUUCUCAGUUCCCAGCAUCAACAGAGCGAGAAUCUACAACUGCUAAUGAUAAUGCAAUACCUCAUGAUCCAGGUGCUGAUUCUGCUGGACCAGCACAAAGCAGACUUUCGCUUCAGUUGGAUCAGCGGUCAUUACAUUUUUCUGUUAAUGCUUGGGUUCUUAUUGUUGCAUUGAUCGGCAUCAUUCCACUGGCAACACGACAACUGCAACUCAAGGGAUAUCGUUUGUCACUUCUUGGCACAACCUGUACCACAGGUUAUGCCAUAUUUGCUCUUUAUGGGCUACCCAGAGUAGGGAACACACAGGCUGUUCAGGCCUGGUGCCACCAUGUAACUUCAUCAAAGGAUUUUAUUCCAUUCAUGUACUGCCUUAUGUUUGUUACAUCUAAACUACACUUGAAGCUUGUUUUGGUACCGGUAAUUUGCUGGGCACUUGAACAUGUGGCCAGAUUUCUACGGCGCCAUUUUACCAAUUCCUCUCUCUACAGGGCAUACCUGGAGCCGCUUUGCACAUGGGUUGAGGCAAACACAACUGCAGUCAACUUUCUGAUUGCAAAUGCAGAGAUUUUGUUGGGCUUUCUUAUGAUCUUAUCACUGUUCUCGAAACAACGCAAUGCUAUGCAAACAUUCAUGUACUGGCAGUUGUUGAAGCUAAUGUAUCAUUCUCCUUUCACUGCUGGCUACCACAGAGCUAUCUGGCUAAAGAUUGGCCGGACAGCUAACCCCUACAUCAGCAGUUACACCCCUUUUCUUCAUGACCCGAUAAACGCCGGCAUGAGAUGGUGGUUCAGGUAG